GAGAGGUGUUCAGAACAC
Molecule: transfer RNA, 18 nt
Filed under: Iguana delicatissima
Lineage: Eukaryota; Metazoa; Chordata; Lepidosauria; Squamata; Iguanidae
Description: partial tRNA-Ser
Source: RNAcentral